CGGCAACUGUGUAAAAUAGGCAACCAGAUAUUCGAAUAGUUCGAAUUCGUGAUUUUUUUCCAAACGAACAUUCGAAUGUCAUUUUUGAGCAAUUUUGACAGCCCUACUGGAGAUAGAAUUUUUUUCUGACAUUUAAUUUUUCUAUUACCGGACAACGGAAACCCAACGGAACAGCUCAUAUCACGUGGCUGGAUCUGGACUGGAAGGAUGAUGGGACAGGGGAAGGGCGUCUCACGCUUCUGUCUACUCACAACACGCGACAGGUUUGUGGCUUUGAGUGUCGCGAUUUUGGUUUCGAUACGCAUAUCGUUACAGCCCUACUGACCAUAAUAUGAAGCUGUCCAUCACCCUAAAAGCCACUAAAGGAAGCACCCAUUUCAACCAAAUUCUACUCAUGGGAAUUGAGUCAAGUUAUGGGAACACGAUUUGAUGCUCCAUACUGAAAUCACUCUGGACAAUGCACUCACCAUUUGAGGUUCUUGCGUUCAGGGUUGAUUUGUGCUUCGUUGUGGAAAGCACGAAGCUUGGCCACCAAGUCGGUGGAGUCCUGUGCUGCAUUCACAGCAAGGGUUUUGGGGAUGACCAGGAGGGAGCGGGCAAACUCUGCAAUGGCCAACUGCUCCCGGGAACCCUGAAGAAACAAGUCUUAACGCAUAACUACACAAAACUAUGCAAGCAUGUCCAUAGGCAUCUCCCCCACUUCUUGAAAAAAUACUAAAUUUGAGCGUUUUUUGAGUGGGGAUAAAAACUAGACAUGUGCCAUCAUUGCAUUUAGACGUAGCAGAGUGGAGGCCGCCAAAACAUCCUCAGACAACGAUGGACAGUCACUCUAUCCCGUUAGCAUAGCCACUCAUCUCUGGGGAGUCAGAUGAGCGGUAGUAAAACAGGAAUGGUUGAUUUUUUUUUUCAGAUGCAUCUAGAUUUUUAUCUAUGAUCACAGCACACAAUAUCUUAAAGCUUCUGCAUCUUCAUUCACACCACUGAAGUCCUCAUUUUGGCGAAGAUAGAGGGGUGGGGUCUCACCAUGCUAGUGGCAUAGUUCUCCAGGUAGAUGGACAGUGCUGCCUCCACAGCACCUCCUCCUGGCACCACAGACUUGGACUCCAGGACCCUCUUGACCACACACAGGGCGUCAUGCAGGGAGCGCUCCAU
This is a long non-coding RNA of Gadus macrocephalus (Pacific cod), 1152 nucleotides long. RefSeq lists it as uncharacterized. Lineage: Eukaryota; Metazoa; Chordata; Actinopteri; Gadiformes; Gadidae. The transcript has 2 exons. The record is from RefSeq and is a predicted model, not a curated record.